RNAcentral lists this long non-coding RNA (207 nucleotides) under Trifolium pratense (red clover). RNAcentral's name for it is "long non-coding RNA (TPRA_LNC006032)". The record is from RNAcentral. Lineage: Eukaryota; Viridiplantae; Streptophyta; Magnoliopsida; Fabales; Fabaceae.
GCAAAGAUCAAUUCAUGCAUUUAAAGAGCAAGAUGGGUUUAUCCAACUUACAUCUCCCAUCUUGAGGGGGAGUGUUAUCACAGCAAAUCAUGCUUAGCUGUACACGGUUUCCAUUCAAAUCAAGAUGGCAAUGAAUUUGUGAUUAAUAGGAGAUAUUUUCAUUCAAUAGGAAUUGUUUGUAAUUAAGUAUCUUUGACCAUUUUCCAU